UACAUACAUAGUCGAUAAGGUCCUCAAUCAAGUUUGAGGUGAAAAGGGAAGCUUGGUGAAAUUCCAGCACGGUCCCGCCACUGUAAGCAUAUAUACACUGCAAAAGCCACUGUCCAAAAAGAUGGGAAGGCGUAGUGUUGAAAUUGUAUGCGAGUCAGGAGACCUGCCUUAUUGAAAUCUGUGUA
This 185-nucleotide non-coding RNA is filed under the name Priestia koreensis. Lineage: Bacteria; Bacillati; Bacillota; Bacilli; Caryophanales; Bacillaceae. The record is from RNAcentral.